Molecule: ribosomal RNA, 497 nt
Filed under: uncultured bacterium
Lineage: Bacteria
Description: partial 16S ribosomal RNA
Rfam family: Bacterial small subunit ribosomal RNA
Source: RNAcentral
GAUGAACGCUGGCGGCGUGCCUAAUACAUGCAAGUCGAGCGAACGGACGAGAAGCUUGCUUUUCUGAUGUUAGCGGCGGACGGGUGAGUAACACGUGGAUAACCUACCUAUAAGACUUGGAUAACUUCGGGAAACCGGAGCUAAUACCGGAUAAUAUUUUGAACCGCAUGGUUCAAAAGUGAAAGACGGUCUUGCUGUCACUUAUAGAUGGAUCCGCGCUGCAUUAGCUAGUUGGUAAGGUAACGGCUUACCAAGGCAACGAUGCAUACCCGACCUGAGAGGGUGAAGGGCCCCACUGGAACUGAGACACGGUCCAGACUCCUACGGGAGGCAGCAGUAGGGAAUCUUCGGAGAUGGGCGAAAGCCUGACGGAGCAACGCCGCGUGAGUGAUGAAGGUCUUCGGAUCGUAAAACUCUGUUAUUAGGGAAGAACAUAUGUGUAAGUAACUGUGCACAUCUUGACGGUACCUAAUCAGAAAGCCACGGCUAACUACGUG